RNAcentral lists this unclassified non-coding RNA (460 nucleotides) under plant metagenome. Its description in RNAcentral is "partial contains small subunit ribosomal RNA, internal transcribed spacer 1, and 5.8S ribosomal RNA". The record is from RNAcentral.
UCUCCGUAGGUGAACCUGCGGAGGGAUCAUUAACACGUUUUUAACAAAACAAAACCAAUUAAAACCUGUCAAUUUGCAUCCAGCUGAAAUUCUUUUUUUAGCUGGUUGGGAGUUGUUUUGGUCUGCGAAUUUAUUCACUGAAUGGAUCUAGUCUUUAGCAGGAGAGUGGAGUCAAAUCUAUUUCUUUUGUGAAGGCCAGGUCUUAUUCAAACAAUUUUUUUAAUCUUUUUUUACAAACCCAUGUAACAAAAAAAAACCCAGUUGAACAGUUCAAGCUUUACCGUAAUAACCUUUGUGUUAUUGGGGUGGGCGUACGACUGUACUAAUCUCUUUUUUGUUCUUUUCCAUUUCUGAGCUUGAUAUAAUAUUAAUAUUAAAUCUAGCACAAAGAAAGUGGAAAAGAAUAAUAAAAACCACAAUAAUCUAAGAACAACUCUUAGCAAUGGAUAUCUUGGUUCUC